This 276-nucleotide ribosomal RNA is filed under the name Klebsiella variicola. RNAcentral's name for it is "partial 16S ribosomal RNA". It matches the Rfam family "Bacterial small subunit ribosomal RNA", at positions 512 to 787 of the family's 1533-position model. Lineage: Bacteria; Pseudomonadati; Pseudomonadota; Gammaproteobacteria; Enterobacterales; Enterobacteriaceae. The record is from RNAcentral.
CAGCCGCGGUAAUACGGAGGAUCCGAGCGUUAUCCGGAUUUAUUGGGUUUAAAGGGAGCGUAGGUGGACGCUUAAGUCAGUUGUGAAAGUUUGCGGCUCAACCGUAAAAUUGCAGUUGAUACUGGAUGUCUUGAGUACAGUAGAGGCAGGCGGAAUUCGUGGUGUAGCGGUGAAAUGCUUAGAUAUCACGAAGAACUCCGAUUGCGAAGGCAGCCUGCUGGACUGCAACUGACACUGAUGCUCGAAAGUGUGGGUAUCAAACAGGAUUAGAAACCC